AGCUUUCAUAAGCGGAGGAAAAGAAACUAACAAGGAUUCCCCUAGUAACGGCGAGUGAAGCGGGAAGAGCUCAAAUUUGUAAUCUGGCACUUUCAGUGUCCGAGUUGUAAUCUCGAGAAGUAUUUUCCGCGCCGGACUGCAUACAAGUCUGUUGGAAUACAGCGUCAUAGUGGUGAGAACCCCGUAACUGAUGCAGAUGCCCGGUGCUUUGUGAUAUACUUUCGAAGAGUCGAGUUGUUUGGGAAUGCAGCUCAAAUUGGGUGGUAAAUUCCAUCUAAAGCUAAAUAUUGGAGCAAGACCGAUAGCGAACAAGUACCGUGAGGGAAAGAUGAAAAGCACUUUGGAAAGAGAGUUAACAGUACGUGAAAUUGUUGGAAGGGAAACGCUUGAAGUCAGACUUGCUAUUCGGAGUUCAGCCGCAAGGUGUAUUCUUCGAUUUGCAGGCCAGCAUCAGUUUUCGGGGGUGGAAAAUCGUGGUUUGAAGGUAGCAACUUCGGUUGUGUUAUAGCUUUCCACUGGAUUCAUCUUUGGGGACUGAGGAACGCAGUACGCUUUUUGCAAGGCCCUCGGGCUCUCGUACUUA
This 583-nucleotide ribosomal RNA is filed under the name Leucosporidium muscorum. RNAcentral describes it as "LSU rRNA". It matches the Rfam family "Eukaryotic large subunit ribosomal RNA", at positions 37 to 615 of the family's 3401-position model. The record is from RNAcentral. Lineage: Eukaryota; Fungi; Basidiomycota; Microbotryomycetes; Leucosporidiales; Leucosporidiaceae.